CUGAACUAUUCUAGUUCUAAAGGCCCUCAGGCAAAAUCAAGAGAAAUACGUCUCAAACCUGGGUGUCUGCAACCUCACUUACAAGGAAUCAUCAAGAAGCAAGUCUGACUAUGGAAAGGUGUGAUGCUCCCUUUCUCAGUCUCCCUGGGCAAAAAGACAAGCUAUAAGAGUGAAACAUCUUCUCAACGUGGGUAAAGAUAGGACACCAGCAGGAAUCCCUGCUUUUGCCACCACUUGCAGAGUGAAGAGCCUCUACACUGUUCCACAUGCAUCCAAAAGCAAGUUCAGGCUUCAGAGGAAUCUGCAGAAAAUAUAAUUAUGCUACUGCAUUUUAGAAAGGUGAAGCUACGCAAAGCAGCAUAUUCACCCACCCUGUCUGAAGCAACUAACUUUGUUCAGAGCACUCUGGAGAUGCCAGCAGCCAUGCAGGAAGCUUAUCUUCAUACACAGGUGCCAGUCCCCAAGCUGCCAGGUCCUUCUGCUCUGUCCCAGCUCCUUGUGCCGCAGAGGUUCUGCAGGCAUGCUCAGAACACCAUGUGGCAUUCAGAUCACCCUGAGAUGCUGGAGAAGUGCUGGGGCACACCAAAGAUACCACUCAACGAGAAAUGUGCAAGACCAUUGGAAAGUCUUCUUUCUGAGCCUCAGUAAGCACACAUGGCAGAA
Molecule: long non-coding RNA, 663 nt
Organism: Anser brachyrhynchus (Pink-footed goose)
Lineage: Eukaryota; Metazoa; Chordata; Aves; Anseriformes; Anatidae
Source: Ensembl